CUACGGGAGGCAGCAGUGGGGAAUUUUGCGCAAUGGGCGAAAGCCUGACGCAGCAACGCCGCGUGAGUGAUGAAGGCCUUCGGGUCGUAAAGCUCUGUCAGAGGGGAAGAACCACCUGUUGACCAAUACUCAACAGGUCUGACGGUACCCUCAAAGGAAGCACCGGCUAACUCCGUGCCAGCAGCCGCGGUAAUACGGAGGGUGCGAGCGGUUGUUCGGAAUUAUUGGGCGUAAAGCGCGUGUAGGCGGUUGUUUAAGUCUGAUGUGAAAGCCCCGGGCUUAACUUGGGAAGCGCAUUGGAACCUGAGCAACUAGAGUACGGGAGAGGGUAGUGGAAUUCCGAGUGUAGGGGUGAAAUCCGUAGAUAUUCGGAGGAACACCGGUGGCGAAGGCGGCUACCUGGACCGAUACUGACGCUGAGACGCGAAAGCGUGGGGAGCAAACAGGAUUAGAUACCCGGGUAGUC
Molecule: ribosomal RNA, 466 nt
Filed under: uncultured bacterium
Lineage: Bacteria
Description: partial 16S ribosomal RNA
Rfam family: Bacterial small subunit ribosomal RNA
Source: RNAcentral